This 236-nucleotide ribosomal RNA is filed under the name uncultured Candidatus Saccharibacteria bacterium. Its description in RNAcentral is "partial 16S ribosomal RNA". It matches the Rfam family "Bacterial small subunit ribosomal RNA", at positions 584 to 818 of the family's 1533-position model. The record is from RNAcentral. Lineage: Bacteria; Candidatus Saccharimonadota.
UAAGUGGAUAGUGAAACCUGGUGGCUCAACCAUUCAGACUAUUAUCCAAACUGCUAAGCUCGAGAAUGGUAGAGGUAAUUGGAAUUUCUAGUGUAGGAGUGAAAUCCGUAGAUAUUAGAAGGAACACCGAUGGCGUAGGCAGAUUACUGGACCAUUUCUGACGCUAAGGCACGAAAGCGUGGGGAGCGAACCGGAUUAGAUACCCGGGUAGUCCACGCCGUAAACGAUGGAUGCUA